Molecule: ribosomal RNA, 139 nt
Filed under: uncultured bacterium
Lineage: Bacteria
Description: partial 16S ribosomal RNA
Rfam family: Bacterial small subunit ribosomal RNA
Source: RNAcentral
UGGGGAAUAUGAGGGCAAUGGACGCAAGUCUCGACCCAGCAACGCUGCGUGAAGGAUGAAUGCUUCGGGUUGUACACUUCUUUUGUCAGGGAACAGUACACGAUGGUACCUGACGAAUAAGGCGACGGCUAACUACGUG